Long non-coding RNA from Dermacentor silvarum, 2276 nucleotides. RefSeq lists it as uncharacterized. The transcript has 3 exons. The record is from RefSeq and is a predicted model, not a curated record. Lineage: Eukaryota; Metazoa; Arthropoda; Arachnida; Ixodida; Ixodidae.
GGACCACAAAUAUCCGUCAGAUAUCCAGUUUAGAUCCGAACGUCCUGGGCCCACACUGGUCAUUCAGCGGACGUACGUGGGACAUCCUUUUUUGGCAUUAAAGAAAGUUCCGUUUAUUUUGUUCCUGUGGAGGUCCUCUGGAUGUUCCCCUUUGGAUGCGGGAAACGUCCAGUGCGUGUUAUCCCUUGGUCGUCCUUUGAAUGUAGGAAUCUUUUCUACAAAUAUUGUACGUUAGUGCUACUAUUUUUCAUUAGAUUUUCAACGAUGAUAUGCUGUGAACAUAUUGCUAACAUCGCAUGUACGUGGGCAUGGUGCUUAACUAUUAAGUGGACUUCUAUGGGCAAAGAAGAAAACAAAAUUAUUAAGUACAAAUAAUUCUUUCAUAACUAAAGUUUCCUCUCGAUGUGUCCUGGGCGAAAAGGAAUUAUGAACCCAAAUCACCAGCUAAUGAACAUUACGCGGAUACCGUUUUAUCAUGCUUUGGCCAUAUUACGUAAUGAACAAUAGCGGAGGGCGUACAGCGGCCUGCCUCCAAGCCCCCUGAAUGAAACUAAACGAUAACCAUAUUUUGCCGAGCCAGCCAGCCGGCGAGGAUGUCCGCCCUACAGUGUAAUAGAAUCUUCUAGUUCACUAUAUCCGCGCUUCGAGCGCGCGCCGGCGUCGUCAUUUGUUUUCUUGAUUUUUUUUUUUUUUCUUUUUGUGCUUCCGCUGGCGUCAUGACAUUCUCGGUGCUGCUCACCGCGAGCAACGCAACUGAGAGGGCGAGCAGCGAGGAGGGUGACUACUCGACUAGCGCCUCGCCACCUGCGUACCCCUCUCCCCUCGUUGUGCGCCUCGCACUGCUCACAGCCUCGCGUUGAUCCCGCCACGUGGCACGUGGCGCCUUUAUGUGCAGUUUUGUAGCUGUGGUUGUAGUUUUGCCGCUGUGUACGUUGGCGUUGUAACAGGUGUUCUGUGGUACUGUUCGGUGGCGUGCGAAGAGCUCUCCUGCAAAGAUCUGCUGCAACAGUUUCCCCAAGGAAGCACAACAAAUGUUGAAGACGCCAUGAAAUCGUAGCUCAGACAUGCACCGGAAAGGGCAUCAGGCACCCUCAAACACAAGAAGCCUGCAACGUCUGUUGAGGACUCAAAUGAAGAUGCUGAAUGAGUACCCUCCUUGCCCGCUGCACUCCAAUCCCAUGCCAGUGCCAUGGCAUUCGUGUGCCCGAUUACAGCAGCUACCAAGUAGCUAAAUAGUACCUUCACAGCAGUAUUGUUACUUUUUCUCUUCUUAGUUUAGCAUAUGUGUUAAGCAAUGUGUGUGAUCAAUGCUCACUAUCCAGGAAGCAUGUUCACGUUCGGUAUGAGAUUCACUUGUGGGGGCUUUCCACUUCAUUUUUCAUUAUGGCAGGUUCUGAUCAGUAGCAGUUCUGGUCAACAGGUGAUUUUGUUGUCAACAGCUGAUUUUGUUGUCAACAGAUGAUUUUGAUGGACAAAUUAAGAUACUAAUUUGUAUGUUUGUUUCUCAUUUUUCUAUGUGUUAGGUGAAGCAAUGUGUCCACUCAGUGCUCAUUAUUUAGGAAAUACUUUGUUUCUUGAUAAGAGGUUCAUUUCUGGGAACUCUUAGCUUUGUCUUUCACUUGGGAGCUCAUUAUUCAAAAAGCACAUUCAUUCUCUCCAUAUAGAUUUAAUCCUCGGGUCGUUCAGCCUGGUUAAUUCUUACUCUUUUAGUCUUUGUUGUUAUUGAUGUUCAGUAGUUCCCUCUGCAGUUUUUCAACACACAUUUUACUCAUGUUGAUUAGUGUGCUUAGUGGUGGUUGCCUUUAAGCAUUUCUAAAAUUGAGUCUUGAUUAUCCCAUCUGCUUUUUUAGUUACUUGCAUUGCAAUUUUUGUGUUGCUGUUGGACAUUUUCAGUUGUGUUUUGCAGAGUACUAACACUAUUGUGAUGUGUCUCAGUUGAUUAAGUACACAUUUAAUUACAUUUGCCUUGUAUUCUUCUCAGCCUGAAAAGUGUUCGGUGCUGUAUAGUAGUUUUCUUAGUAAUUUCGUUUGCAAAUUCCGUGUUGACGUCAUGUUUUAUGUACAAAAAAUGACGUGGUGACCUAAUAAGUAGCAUGGCCGCUUGUGUUGUUUGAGCUGCACCUGUUUAUUUUUUUCAUCACGUUUAUGUAAUGACACCUUGAAGCAGCAUUUUUAGCCAUUUUAUAUGGGUUUUGUAACAAUAUUGGCAAACUAUUUUGCACUGUUAGUCUACUGUGCUCAAAUAUUUUGAUGUUGUGUUGCAAUAAAAUAUUUUA